Molecule: ribosomal RNA, 889 nt
Filed under: uncultured Clostridiaceae bacterium
Lineage: Bacteria; Bacillati; Bacillota; Clostridia; Eubacteriales; Clostridiaceae
Description: bacterial SSU rRNA
Rfam family: Bacterial small subunit ribosomal RNA
Source: RNAcentral
AGAGUUUGAUCCUGGCUCAGGACGAACGCUGGCGGCGUGCUUAACACAUGCAAGUCGAGCGGACAUUGGGAGCUUGCUCCUAAUGUUAGCGGCGGACGGGUGAGUAACACGUGGGUAAUCUGCCCUCAAGUGGGGAAUAACACAGAGAAAUCUGUGCUAAUACCGCAUAACAUAUACUGGUUGCAUGAUUGGUAUAGAAAAGAUUUAUCGCUUGAGGAUGAGCCCGCGGCCCAUUAGCUAGUUGGUGAGGUAAAGGCCCACCAAGGCCACGAUGGGUAGCCGACCUGAGAGGGUGAUCGGCCACAUUGGAACUGAGACACGGUCCAGACUCCUACGGGAGGCAGCAGUGGGGAAUAUUGCACAAUGGGGGAAACCCUGAUGCAGCAACGCCGCGUGAGUGACGAAGGCCUUCGGGUUGUAAAGCUCUGUCUUCGCUGACGAUAAUGACGGUAAGCGAGGAGGAAACCACGGCUAACUACGUGCCAGCAGCCGCGGUAAUACGUAGGUGGCAAGCGUUGUCCGGAAUUAUUGGGCGUAAAGGGUGCGUAGGCGGUUUUUUAAGUGGGAUGUGAAAUACCUGGGCUUAACUCAGGAACUGCAUUCCAAACUGGAAGACUAGAGUGCAGGAGAGGAAAGUGGAAUUCCCAGUGUAGCGGUGAAAUGCGUAGAGAUUGGGAGGAACACCAGUGGCGAAGGCGACUUUCUGGACUGUAACUGACGCUGAGGCACGAAAGCGUGGGGAGCAAACAGGAUUAGAUACCCUGGUAGUCCACGCUGUAAACUAUGAGUACUAGGUGUGGGGGGCGAAGCCCUCUGUGCCGCAGUUAACACAAUAAGUACUCCGCCUGGGAAGUACGAUCGCAAGAUUAAAACUCAAAGGAAUUGACGG